This 458-nucleotide ribosomal RNA is filed under the name uncultured bacterium. Its description in RNAcentral is "bacterial SSU rRNA". It matches the Rfam family "Bacterial small subunit ribosomal RNA", at positions 29 to 524 of the family's 1533-position model. The record is from RNAcentral.
AACGAACGCUGGCGGCAUGCCUAACACAUGCAAGUCGAACGGGAUCCUAGCUUGCUAGGUGAGAGUGGCGGACGGGUGAGUAACACGUGGGAAUCUGCCUUUUGGUUCGGGAUAACCGCGGGAAACUGCGGCUAAUACCGAAUGCCCUCGUGAGAGGAAAGAUUUAUCGCCAGAAGAGGAGCCCGCGUCCGAUUAGGUAGUUGGUGGGGUAAAGCCUACCAAGCCGACGAUCGGUAGCUGGUCUGAGAGGAUGAUCAGCCACACUGGGACUGAGAUACGGCCCAGACUCCUACGGGAGGCAGCAGUGGGGAAUAUUGGACAAUGGGGGCGAACCCUGAUCCAGCAAUGCCGCGUGAGUGAUGAAGGCCUUAGGGUUGUAAAGCUCUUUUGCCAGGGAAGAUGAUGACUGUACCUGGAGAAUAAGCCCCGGCUAACUUCGUGCCAGCAGCCGCGGUAAU